UGGGGAAUUUUGGACAAUGGGCGCAAGCCUGAUCCAGCCAUGCCGCGUGCAGGAUGAAGGCCUACGGGUUGUAAACUGCUUUUGUACGGAACGAAAAGACUCCUUCUAAUAAAGGGGGUCCAUGACGGUACCGUAAGAAUAAGCACCGGCUAACUACGUGCCAGCAGCCGCGGUAAUACGUAGGGUGCGAGCGUUAAUCGGAAUUACUGGGUGUAAAGCGUGCGCAGGCGGUUAUAUAAGACAGGUGUGAAAUCCCCGGGCUCAACCUGGGAACUGCAUUUGUGACUGUAUAGCUAGAGUACGGCAGAGGGGGAUGGAAUUCCGGGUGUAGCAGUGAAAUGCGUAGAUAUGCGGAGGAACACCGAUGGCGAAGGCAAUCCCCUGGGCCUGUACUGACGCUCAUGCACGAAAGCGUGGGGAGCAAACA
Molecule: ribosomal RNA, 427 nt
Filed under: uncultured bacterium
Lineage: Bacteria
Description: bacterial SSU rRNA
Rfam family: Bacterial small subunit ribosomal RNA
Source: RNAcentral